RNAcentral lists this microRNA precursor (50 nucleotides) under Ciona intestinalis (vase tunicate). Its description in RNAcentral is "microRNA cin-mir-4210 precursor". The record is from miRBase by way of RNAcentral. Lineage: Eukaryota; Metazoa; Chordata; Ascidiacea; Phlebobranchia; Cionidae.
UUUAUAGAAUAUGUAUGUAACUUACAUAACUUACAUACAUAUUCUUUGAA